GUUGGGCACUAGGUGUGGGGUCCAUUCCACGGAUUCCGUGCCGCAGCUAACGCAUUAAGUGCCCCGCCUGGGGAGUACGGCCGCAAGGCUAAAACUCAAAGGAAUUGACGGGGGCCCGCACAAGCGGCGGAGCAUGCGGAUUAAUUCGAUGCAACGCGAAGAACCUUACCAAGGCUUGACAUACACCGGAAAAGUGCAGAGAUGUGCUCCCCGCAAGGUCGGUGUACAGGUGGUGCAUGGCUGUCGUCAG
Molecule: ribosomal RNA, 250 nt
Filed under: uncultured bacterium
Lineage: Bacteria
Description: partial 16S ribosomal RNA
Rfam family: Bacterial small subunit ribosomal RNA
Source: RNAcentral